RNAcentral lists this ribosomal RNA (253 nucleotides) under uncultured bacterium. Its description in RNAcentral is "partial 16S ribosomal RNA". It matches the Rfam family "Bacterial small subunit ribosomal RNA", at positions 524 to 776 of the family's 1533-position model. The record is from RNAcentral.
UACGUAGGGUGCAAGCGUUGUCCGGAAUUAUUGGGCGUAAAGGGCUCGUAGGCGGUCCAUCGCGUCGGGAGUGAAAAGCUGGGGCUUAACCCCAGUCCUGCUUCCGAUACGGGUGGACUAGAGGUAGGUAGGGGAGAUCGGAAUUCCUGGUGUAGCGGUGAAAUGCGCAGAUAUCAGGAGGAACACCGGCGGCGAAGGCGGAUCUCUGGGCCAGUAUUGACGCUGAGGAGCGAAAGCGUGGGGAGCGAACAGG